AGAGAUCUAACGAUCCUCCCUUAAAAUAAUGAGUUCGCUCUGAAGAUUGUGGGAGGAUUAUCCUACAAUGUUAAAAUUAGUAUGGAUGUAGUGAAAGGAAGUAAUAAUCAUUGGAUAAAAGGAUGAGUUCAUCCUAUAGAUCAUUCCAGAAAUAUCUACAAGUAUGCCAAAAGUCAUACUUCAACCAACAAGCAUAAAGGAUGAUCGUAGUCUCUACAAUAAUCAUCCCUUCCUUCCUCUUAGGUAUAGACUCAACAAAUCUAGUUUUAUUUAGGAUAGGUUUCCUUUUGUUAUUUUAAUUUACAUUCUCUUGAUACUUGUAAUGCAUAUUAUUGUUCUUGGAAGUACAAACAUCGAUUUUUAGGAUUUUUAUCCAAAGGGGGAUUUGUGUUUUUAUGUUCUUCUUCGUAAUUUUAUAAUUAUGAUUUCUUCUUAAAUUGUUAUUGUAUGCUUGAAAUCAUAAGUAUCCAAACAACACAGCUAGGGUUGUGGGAACCAUGAUAGAUUAACAAAGUAGUGUGCAAAGUAUGACAUGAUUCUUAAAGGGUAUUUGUGCAUGUAUUUUAACUCUCAUUGAUUUGAUAGCUUUCUAACAAUGGCCAAUUUAGGAAUUCACCUUAUCCUUACUUUUAGUGAAAGAAGGUGUAACGAUUGGGAAAAGGGAAUUAACCACGAGACUUGGAACUAUCGAUCUCUAUUUAAUUAGCUACCUUGAAUCAGUAAAUAGGAUAUCUUAUAUGAAAUCAACAAUAGGGGUUAGUAAUGCAAAACUCAGGAGAUGAUAAUAGGUGAUUGAGGAUAGUAAUCAAAUGGGGUGUAAAUUAAUUUAGAUGAACAUAACCUAUCAGUUUGGCAUACCGAGCCCCAUGAGAGAUCAGUAUGACAAACAUAAGGAUUUAUGAAUUUAUGGGGAACACAACCCUAGUGUAUCUCUUACAUUGAUUAUAAAUCCAAUGAACUUAUUACUUUUUGAUGUUCUCAAAACUCCCCAUUACUGGAAAUCGUUCACUAAUUGUGUAGGCAGACAUGAUGAUAGCUAUUUUGACCUAUUCCUCAUGGAUCAAGCCCAACUCAGUUGGGCUCUAUAUUUUGUCAAUGACCUCUUUAUAUAUUUAUCAGAGAUAUAAUUUAGGUGAAAUUAAAUUUUGGUACCAUUGGUAGGGAAUAUGGUUACAGAGUUUUUGAUUUUGUUUGUUUGGCUAUUGAUUUUUGUUUCAACAAUUUAAAUUAUUCUAUUGAUUUUAACGAGCACACUGGUGCAUGCCCAACACUCGAAUAUAUGGACAUCUUCUAAUUCCACUUGAUACUAAAAUUGAAAGGACUCUGAGAGUUAGAUGAAAAAUGGUUAACGAUGAGUUCAUAACCAUGUAGUUCUUAACUAUGAAAUAUAGAUGAGGGAGUCCUGAAUCAACCAAGAAAUCUUCAUGGGAUUUAUGAGACUUUGGAGAAAACCACUACUUGAUUUGUUGUUGAAUAUUGCAUAAGACAAAAAGCUGAUAGGCAUACAAUAAGAGAAGAAAGGGCUAGACAAGCUUAAGUGGGCCAUUCGAUCGCACUUGAGGAAUAAAUAGGCCAAAAAGGAAUAGGGAAAACAACUUUUGCAAAAUUAUGUUCCUCAGUUUGAUGAUACAGAGGAUGAUCUAGAAUUUAUUAAGGCAACUGAAACAGGUGUUAUUAUUCCACCACCAUUACAUAGGAACUAAGUUCGAUAUCACCAGAGCAAUGAUACAACUACUAAAAUUGAAAAGAGUGUUCAAGGGCCUUUCUAUUGCUAACAAAAAACUUCAUCUAUUGAGAUUUUUAGGGAUUUGCACUUCCUAUAAUUUAUCCAAUUUAUGUCAAGUAGUUAUUAGACUACGAUUUUUUCCUUCUCUCUGACUAGAGAAGCCGCUCUAUAGUUGACUAAGUCACCAAAAGGGUCAAUUAUCAAUUGGAAAGAGUUAAAGACAACUUUUGGAGCUUUUUUCCCACCCUCUAGAAUGUUGCAGUUGAAAGAUGAGAAGGCAAUUAUAUUCUAAAACAUUGUAUGAAACUUGGUUAAGGAUUAGGAAGUUGUAGAAUGUCCCAACCACCGAAUAUAAGUCCUUAAUUUUCUUGAGAUAUUAUACAGAUGUUAGACUAUGAAUAAUAAGGUUAUAGACAACAUUGUCAUAGGUGAAACGAUUGGGAGUUUAACUUGGAAGCAGGCUUCUGAGAUUCUUGAUAUGAUCACAAAAAUCAAUAAAGGUUGGCACAUUCGAUAGGUAGACAAGCCCAUAUACACUUAUAUGAUAAAAACAUCUAUAGAAAAGUGAAUGGUCAAUGAUUUUAUUACCUAGGAUUUAGCAUAUUUGAGGACUAAAUUUGGCUUAUUCAUAAAAUAAUCAAAAGUUGGGGGCUAAAAAUUAUUAAUGGGGUUGGUUCAUAAGGUAAGUAACCUAUACAUAAUGAACUUAAUUCUAACGAGGAGGCAAAGUAUCUAAAUAGUAAAGUGGAGAGUUUUAAAUCCAAAGGACAAGGGUCUCAAGAAAUUAGUGUUCUAAUCAAAGAAACCAAGGUCGAAACUACUACAGGAAAAAUAACUACAGUUUAUUUAGGUAUAGAGAUAAUAAUCAUGGUAGAGAUGGUGAAUUGAAGAUGAAGGAUGAUUACAAAGAUAAAAGUGGCCUCUUUAUUCCACUGGGAACUAUGAUGAUUUGAGUAAUAUAAGAGUGGAAGACAUACUAGAUAAUGUGGUGAAAGGGGUCGAGAAAAUAAAAGACUACUGUAAGGAUCUUAGAGAAGAUAUUUUAGGAAUGAGUCAGAAGGUUAAAUCAUAUGAUAACAACAUUAAGAAACUUUAUUAGCAUCAUGUUAAGAUUUUAGUCGUAAUGAAUCUGUGUCAAUAAGGCACACUUCUAAGAAACACCAUCCAAAAUCUAAAAACAAUGGUAAUUGCUUAGAGAUUACUACUAGGAUUGGUAAGAUGAUGGUUUGACCACCUAUAUUCACAGUUACUAUGAAUGAUAUUGAGUCAGUGAUUAUCGAUGACAAAAAAGUAGUGGAGUCCAAAAAACUCAUUGAUAAUCUACUGCUACUAAAAAUUAUACAGAGUGGGUGUUGGGGUCACCUAAAUUAACUUUGAUGAGACUUCUCAUGAUGGACAACACUAUGAAGAAGAAGAUUGGAAUUUUAUGUAAUGUUUUAGUGAGGGUUUCAUACCUUAUUAUUCCCACUGAUUUUACUAUCGUUGACAGUGAGAUUGAAUUUGAGGUUCCCGUUAUCUUGGAAAAACCAUUCCUUAGUACUAGAUGAGAAUUGGUUAAUAUAGAUACAGGGCAAAUGAAGAUUCAAUUAAAUCAUAAGCAAGUAACAUUUAAUAUAUGGCAAUCCAUGAAGUAUCCAAAGGACAUACAUGAUCUCUAUUAUUAAUACAGUUAACAAAGAUGCAUCGGUAGCUCCUAUUAAGGAGAGACUUAGAGUUGAAGAACAUUCAAUAGGAAUUAUGAAUUUUAAGUGUGAUGAAAUUAAUGGUUAUGAUUAGAUAAUGAGCGUAUUUGCUAAUUUGGGUUCCUACACUUUUGCACAAAAGAAGUUCGAUCUUGAUUUGAAGAAUAAAGUGACCUCGCCAACUAAGCCUUCUAUUAAGGAGCUUCCUAUUUUAAAACUCAAAGCUCUUCCAUCCCAUUUUCCUUAUGUAUUAUUGAGAGCCAAUUAAAAUUUGUCAGUUAUUACCGCAGCUGAUUUAGUAGAUUGGUAGUUUGAGGCUCUAGUGUUUAUGUUGCAGAAGUUUAAGAGGUCCAUUAGAUGUUCCAUUAAUGAUAUCAAUGCAACUCUACCUAGAAUUUUCACAUAUAAGAUCUAAAUAUAGCCAAAUUGUGUUCGUAGUAUUGAGUAUUGAUGAAGACUUAAUUUUCCUAUACAAGAGAUAGUUAUGAAUGAGAUUAUCAUGUAGUUUACCCUAUUGCCGAUAGCAAAUAGAUGGGCCUGGUUUAAUAUUAAGUCAAAAAAGGUGGAAUAAAUAUGGUUCCAGAUGCAAAAAUGAGUUUAUUCCUAUGUGGUCAAUCACUAUUGGUAAGUACGCAUAUAUUAUAGGAAGCUGAAUGCAUGGACUAAAAAGGAUCAUUUUUUAUGUCUUUUAUGGAUCAAAUGUUGGAUUUUCUUACUGGUACAAGAUGAUAUUAUUUUCUUGAUGGUUAUUUUGGUUAUAAUCAUAUUUUGAUUGCUCCAGAAAACCAAGAGAAGAACACUUUAACUUGUCCAUAUGAGCUAUUUGUGUUGAAGAAAAUACCUUUAGGUCUAUGUAAUGCAUCGAUAACCUUUAAGAAUUAUAUAAUUUCCAUCUUUUCUGACAUGGUGGAGGUCACUAUUGAGGAAUUUAUGGAUAAUUUCUUGAAUGUUGAUGAUUUGUUUGAAGAUUGUUUAGCCUAUCUUUCUAGGGUCUUAAGAAGAUAUAAAGAUUGCAACAUUGUGUUAAAUUAGGAGAAGUGCCACUUCAUGGUCAAAUAAGGAAUAAUGCUUGGUAACAAAAUUUCAAAGAAAG
RNAcentral lists this long non-coding RNA (4501 nucleotides) under Capsicum annuum. RNAcentral describes it as "long non-coding RNA (CANN_LNC004987)". Lineage: Eukaryota; Viridiplantae; Streptophyta; Magnoliopsida; Solanales; Solanaceae. The record is from RNAcentral.